Molecule: long non-coding RNA, 222 nt
Filed under: Lathyrus oleraceus (garden pea)
Lineage: Eukaryota; Viridiplantae; Streptophyta; Magnoliopsida; Fabales; Fabaceae
Description: Pisum sativum (pea) long non-coding RNA (PSAT_LNC025701)
Source: RNAcentral
UUGAAACGCGCCAGAUUUGAAUAUGGAUGUGGAUCGAUUCCGGGCGGCAUCAUUUUCUCUUUAGGCUUUUGGCAUUUCUACAUAUCAUGUUAUCCAUGUUUCACAUGUUUUGUUCACCUUUUUUUUAUUUUUUCUUCACAUUACAAAAAUCAUAACUCAUUCAAUAUUUGUCCAAUUAACAUGAGGUUUUUUCCAUGAUGAUCCUUGCCAUGUCUACUUUUU